This 229-nucleotide ribosomal RNA is filed under the name uncultured bacterium. Its description in RNAcentral is "partial 16S ribosomal RNA". It matches the Rfam family "Bacterial small subunit ribosomal RNA", at positions 524 to 752 of the family's 1533-position model. The record is from RNAcentral.
UAAGGAGGGUGCGAGCGUUAAUCGGAAUAACUGGGCGUAAAGGGCACGCAGGCGGGCUUUUAAGUGAGGUGUGAAAUCCCCGGGCUUAAACUGGGAAUAGCAUUUCAGACUGGGAGUCUAGAGUACUUUAGGGAGGGGUAGAAUUCCACGUGGAGCGGUGAAAUGCGUAGAGAUGUGGAGGGAUACCGAAGGCGUAGGCAGCCCCUUGGGAAUGUACUGACGCUCAUGU